Molecule: long non-coding RNA, 638 nt
Filed under: Citrus sinensis (sweet orange)
Lineage: Eukaryota; Viridiplantae; Streptophyta; Magnoliopsida; Sapindales; Rutaceae
Description: long non-coding RNA (CSIN_LNC002264)
Source: RNAcentral
AACAUGCUUCGGUCAUUACCAGAACUUCCAUUGUGUCUAAAAUAUCUUCACUUGGAGGAUUGUAACAUGCUUCGGUCAUUACCAGAACUUUCAUUGUGUCUACAAUCACUAAAUGCAAGGAACUGCAAGCGGCUUCAAUCUUUGCCAGAGAUUCCGUCAUGUCUACAAGAACUAGAUGCAUCCGUACUCGAAAAGCUAUCCAAGCCCUCUCCUGACCUUAUUCAAUGGGCACCCGGACGUCUGGAGUCACAACCAAUUUAUUUUGGGUUCUGUAACAUGCUUCGGUCAUUACCAGAACUUCCAUUGUGUCUAAAAUAUCUUCACUUGGAGGAUUGUAACAUGCUUCGGUCAUUACCAGAACUUUCAUUGUGUCUACAAUCACUAAAUGCAAGGAACUGCAAGCGGCUUCAAUCUUUGCCAGAGAUUCCGUCAUGUCUACAAGAACUAGAUGCAUCCGUACUCGAAAAGCUAUCCAAGCCCUCUCCUGACCUUAUUCAAUGGGCACCCGGACGUCUGGAGUCACAACCAAUUUAUUUUGGGUUCACUAACUGCUUGAAACUGAAUGGAAAAGCAAACAACAAGAUUUUGGCAGAUUCACUACUAAGAAUUCGGCAUAUGGCAAUUGCAUCACUGAGACU